RNAcentral lists this ribosomal RNA (252 nucleotides) under uncultured bacterium. RNAcentral describes it as "partial 16S ribosomal RNA". It matches the Rfam family "Bacterial small subunit ribosomal RNA", at positions 524 to 776 of the family's 1533-position model. The record is from RNAcentral.
UACGUAGGGAGCAAGCGUUAUCCGGAUUUAUUGGGUGUAAAGGGUGCGUAGGCGGUUUGAUAGGUCUGUGGUCUAAGCCCGAAGCUUAACUUCGGUUCGCCAUAGAAACCGUCAAACUUGAGUAUGGUAGAGGCAAGUGGAAUUUCUAGUGUAGCGGUAAAAUGCGUAGAUAUUAGAAGGAACACCAGUGGCGAAGGCGACUUGCUGGGCCAUCACUGACGCUGAGGCACGAAAGCGUGGGGAGCAAAUAGG